RNAcentral lists this ribosomal RNA (832 nucleotides) under uncultured prokaryote. RNAcentral's name for it is "bacterial SSU rRNA". It matches the Rfam family "Archaeal small subunit ribosomal RNA", at positions 522 to 1353 of the family's 1478-position model. The record is from RNAcentral.
UAGCUUGGUAAUAGGGUCCCUUGAGAAAUCCGCCGGCUUAACUGGCGGGCGUUCAGGGGAAACUUGUUUUCUAGGGACCGGGAGAGGUGAGGGGUACUGCCGGGGUAGGAGUGAAAUCCUGUAAUCCCGGUGGGACCACCUAUGGCGAAGGCAUCUCACCAGAACGGGUCCGACAGUGUGGGACGAAAGCUGGGGAAGCAAACCGGAUUAGAUACCCGGGUAGUCCCAGCUGUAAACUAUGUGCGUUAGGUGUGUCAGUGACCACGUGUCACUGAGGUGCCGAAGGGAAACCGUGAAACGCACCGCCUGGGGAGUACGGUCGCAAGGCUGAAACUUAAAGGAAUUGGCGGGGGAGCACCACGACGGGUGGAGCCUGCGGUUUUAUCGGACUCAACGCCGGGAAUCUCACCGGAUAAGACAGCUGAAUGAUAGUCGGGAUGAAGACUCUACUUGACUAGCUGAGAGGAGGUGCAUGGCCGUCGUCAGUUCGUACUGUGAAGCAUCCUGUUUAGUCAGGCAACGAGCGAGACCCACGCGAGCAGUUGCCAGCUUGACCUUCGGGUUGAUGGGGACACUGCUCGGACCGCCUCUGCUAAAGGGGAGGAAGGACUGGGCAACGGUAGGUCAGCAUGCCCCGAAUUAUCCGGGCUACACGCGGGCUACAAUGGACAGGACAAUGAGUUUCGACACCGAGAGGUGAGGAUAAUCUUCUAACCCUGUCCCAAGUUCGGAUUGCGGGUUGUAACUCACCCGCAUGAAGCUGGAAUCCGUAGUAAUCGCGUUUCAACAUACCGCGGUGAAUAUGUCCCUGCUCCUUGCACUCACCGCCCGU